UGGGUGAUCUGCCCUGCACUUUGGGAUAAGCCUGGGAAACUGGGUCUAAUACCGAAUACACCUUGCUGGCUGCAUGGCCUGGUGGGGGAAAGCUUUUGCGGUGUGGGAUGGGCCCGCGGCCUAUCAGCUUGUUGGUGAGGUAAUGGCUCACCAAGGCGAUGACGGGUAGCCGGCCUGAGAGGGUGACCGGCCACACUGGGACUGAGACACGGCCCAGACUCCGUACGGGAGCA
This 233-nucleotide ribosomal RNA is filed under the name uncultured bacterium. Its description in RNAcentral is "partial 16S ribosomal RNA". It matches the Rfam family "Bacterial small subunit ribosomal RNA", at positions 118 to 347 of the family's 1533-position model. The record is from RNAcentral.